Molecule: non-coding RNA, 948 nt
Organism: Trichomonas vaginalis G3
Lineage: Eukaryota; Parabasalia; Trichomonadida; Trichomonadidae
Source: Rfam
AAUGACUCAGCGCAGUAUGAAGUCUUUGUUUUCUUCCGAAAACAAGCUCAAUGAGAGCCAUCGGGGGUAGAUCUAUCUCAUGACGAGUGGUGGAAUACUUUGACUCAUGAGAGAGAAGCUGAGGCGAAGGCGUCUACCUAGAGGGUUUCUGUCGAUCAAGGGCGAGAGUAGGAGUAUCCAACAGGAUUAGAGACCCUGGUAGUUCCUACCUUAAACGAUGCCGACAGGAGUUUGUCAUUUGUUAAUGGCAGAAUCUUUGGAGAAAUCAUAGUUCUUGGGCUCUGGGGGAACUACGACCGCAAGGCUGAAACUUGAAGGAAUUGACGGAAGGGCACACCAGGGGUGGAGCCUGUGGCUUAAUUUGAAUCAACACGGGGAAACUUACCAGGACCAGAUGUUUUUUAUGACUGACAGGCUUCGGGUCUUUCAGGAUAUUGUUUUUGGUGGUGCAUGGCCGUUGGUGGUGCGUGGGUUGACCUGUCUAGCGUUGAUUCAGCUAACGAGCGAGAUUAUCGCCAAUUAUUUACUUUGCCGAAGUCCUUCGGUUAAAGUUCUAAUUGGGACUCCCUGCGAUUUUAGCAGGUGGAAGAGGGUAGCAAUAACAGGUCCGUGAUGCCCUUUAGAUGCUCUGGGCUGCACGCGUGCUACAAUGUUAGGAUCAAUAGGACUGCGAGCCUGAGAGGGUGCGCUACUCUUAUAAUCCCUAACGUAGUUGGGAUUGACGUUUGUAAUCAGCGUCAUGAACCAGGAAUCCCUUGUAAAUGUGUGUCAACAACGCACGUUGAAUACGUCCCUGCCCUUUGUACACACCGCCCGUCGCUCCUACCGAUUGGAUGACUCGGUGAAAUCACCGGAUGCUUACGAGCAGAAAGUGAUUAAAUCACGUUAUCUAGAGGAAGGAGAAGUCGUAACAAGGUAACGGUAAGUGAACCUGCCGUUGGAUCAGUU